RNAcentral lists this ribosomal RNA (501 nucleotides) under uncultured bacterium. RNAcentral describes it as "partial 16S ribosomal RNA". It matches the Rfam family "Bacterial small subunit ribosomal RNA", at positions 30 to 523 of the family's 1533-position model. The record is from RNAcentral.
AUUGAACGCUGGCGGCAGGCUCAACACAUGCAAGUCGAGCGGAGAUGAGGUGCUUGCACCUUAUCUUAGCGGCGGACGGGUGAGUAAUGCUUAGGCAUCUGCCUAUUAGUGGGGGACAACAUUCCGAAAGGAAUGCUAAUACCGCAUACGUCCUACGGGAGAAAGCAGGGGAUCUUCGGACCUUGCGCUAAUAGAUGAGCCUAAGUCGGAGUAGCUAGUUGGUGGGGUAAAGGCCUACCAAGGCGACGAUCUGUAGCGGGUCUGAGAGGAUGAUCCGCCACACUGGGACUGAGACACGGCCAAGACUCCUACGGGAGGCAGCAGUGGGGAAUAUUGGACAAUGGGGGAAACCCUGAUCCAGCCAUGCCGCGUGUGUGAAGAAGGCCUUAUGGUUGUAAAGCACUUUAAGCGAGGAGGAGGCUACUGAGACUAAUACUCUUGGAUAGUGGACGUUACUCGCAGAAUAAGCACCGGCUAACUCUGUGCCAGCCGCCGCCGUAA